GGCAUUGGAUUAUGGGGCUAGGGUAAGGUUUAGGGUUUUGGGGGUUAGGCUUAAAAUCACUGUCCAAGACCUUUUUAGACCAAGACCUGUUUCAACCUUUUUGGAGUGAAUUAGACCAAAAUAAAUUGAAAAAUAAGAACAAAAUGUUUGGGUGUUAGGGCUUCCUUUAGAUAAUACCUGGGUAUUGGGUUUCAGGACUUGGGUAAGGUUUAAGGUUUUUGGGGUCAGGAUUAAUAUCACUGUCCAAAACCUUUGAGGAACAUGUUUUAAACCUUUUGGAGUGAAUUAGACCAACAACAAAAAAAAAAAAAAAUUAAAAAAUAAUUGUUUGGGGUGUUAGGGCUUCCUUUAGGUAAUACUAAAGGAAGUAUUUGGUUAGUAUUGGGUUACAGGGCUAGGGUAAGGUUUAAGGUUUUUUGGGUUAGGCUUAAAAUCACUGUCCAAGACCUUUUUAGGAACAUGUUUCAGAUCUUUUGGAGUGAAUUAUACCGAGAAAAAAAAAGAAAAAUGUCAAAAAAAAUAUUUUGGGCGUUGUUAGGGCCUUUUUAAUGGUAAUACCCAGGAAUUUGGUUAAGGGGCUAGGGUGAGGGUUAGGGUUUCUGGAUAAGGGUUCAUAUCACUGUCCAAAAACCUUUGAGGAUCAUGUUUCAGACCUUUUGAGUUCAUUAGACCAAAAAAUCCGCUCUGACAGCUCUCAUCAGCCUGCUGUGUUCCUCCAACACACAGACACACACACACGCGCGCACAUACGUGGAGUUUUGUUUUCUUUGACGAUGACGUUGACAAAAAUAUUUUCGUCAACGUCAUGGUUGACGAAAACAACACUGGAUUAAUAUCACUGUCCAAUACCCUUUUAAGGUUUUUGGGGUUAGGGUUAAAAUCAUUGUCCAAGACCUUUUUAAGAACAUGUUUCAGACCUUUUGGAGUUAAUUAUACCAAAAAGAAAAACGAAAAAUGUCAAAAAAAAAAAAUUGGGGUUGUAAGGGCUAUUUUUUUAGGUAUUUUUAGGUGUUGGGUUUCGGGUUUUGGUAUUAGGGUUAAAACAAACUGUCCAAGAACUAUUCAGGAACAUGUUGCAAACCUUUUGGAGUUCAUUAGAAAAAAAAAGAAAAAUGUCAUUUUUUUUAAUGUUAGGGCUUCCUUUAAGUAACACCUGGAUAUUGGGUAACAGGGCUGAGGUUAGGGAUAUGUAUUUAGGGUUAAAAUCACUGUCCAACAACCUUUGGGGAACAUGUUUCAAACCUUUUGCAAUUCAUUAGACCCAAAAAAAACAAAAAAUGAAAAAAAAAUGUUCAGGCUUAAAAUCACUGUCCAAAACCUUUUUAGGAACAUGUUUCAGAUCUUUUGGAGUUAGUUAGACCAAAAAAAAAAUGAAAAAAAAAUGUUUGGGGUGUUAAGGCUUACUUUAGGUAAUACCCAGGUAUUGGUUUACGGGGCUAGGGUAAGGUUUAAGGUUUUUGGGGUUAGGGUUAAAAUCACUGUCUAAGACCUUUUUAGGAACAUGUUUCAGAUCUUUUAGAGUUAAUUAUACCAAAAAAAACACACAGAGCUGUGUGAUAAAAGUCAGACCCAGGACAAUGAUGAUCAGACACAACAACAGGAUGCAGACAUAUCUAAUGGUGGUGUUGUUUUGGAGUCCUGCCUUCAGCCACGUGAUGUUUUUGAGGAAAUAUUGUGUUUCAGUGACUCGCGAGAAUACACUGGAUGAAAACAGACCCAUGAAAUUAUCACCCAGUAGUUAUUUUAAAGCAAGGCUCUUUGGUGUUGAUGAUCGCUUUACCAGAGAUACCAACUACCUGUUCUUUGCACAGUUUGUGACAGAGAUACACUUGGCUACCUCCAGCAUGUCCAUACAGUUACACAAAGGCAAACCUUUGACCAGAGACGGACGUAAAAAAACAUUCAGAAUUUUGAGAGACAAAUAUGAAGUGGAGAGACUGGUGAGAAACAGAGAUGCUAUCAGAUUUAUGCAGCCACUCAAGGGAACACCAGCCUACUAGGACAAAACUACAAAAGAUCUGUUUGCUAUGAUCAGGCAGUUGGGCAGUCCUACUUUCUUUGUCACAUUUUCUGCAGCAGAAAUGCUUUGGCCUGAGGUGAUUAUUGCAAUAAAAUCACAACAAGGUGAGGAGGUGACAUUCAAAGUGUGACAUUCUGAGAAGCAAUCCUGCGCAUGUUUGAUAAGUGUGUUGAAGCACUGUACAGAGAUCUGAUCAUGUCUCCUGCACAACCCCUGGGCAAAGUUUAUGACUUCUUUUGGCGUCUCGAGUUUCAGCACAGAGGAAGUCCUCAUAUACAUGGUCUUUUGUGGGUAGAAGGUGCACCUGUGUUUGAGAGAGACUCUGACAAAACUGUGUGUGACUUUGUGUCCAAACACAUCUCUGCUCAGCUCCCUGACCCAAAUAAACAGCCUGAACUGUACAAAAAGGUCAAAGAAGUGCAAAUACACAGUAAGAAGCACUCAAAGACAUGUUUCAAAAGUGCAAGUUCAGGAUGCCGUUUUGGAUUCCCAAAACCACCCUCCAGACGGACAAUGAUAACAAGACCUGUGGAUGAUGAUGAGGAGUCAGAGAGACUUAAGAGAGCCAAAGAGAAACUUGCACCACUGAAUCAGCUGCUGAAUGAGACACAAACUGAAUCCCUGAGUUUUCAACAGCUCCUGUCUGUCUGUGACUUAACCGCUGAUGAGUACGAGAAACACAUGCAUUUGAUGAGUCGGUCAAGCAACAUCCUUCGGAAGCGUGAGCCAAAAGACUGCUGGGUAAACACCUACAACCCUCACCUGCUCAAGGCCUGGGAUGCAAACAUUGAUGUGCAGUUCAUUCUCAGCUACUACAGUCUAAUCCAUUACAUAUGUACGUACAUGUGUAAAAGUGAGAACUCUGUGAGCCAGUAUCUGCAAACACUCAUUCAGAACUCUGAGAGAGAAUGUGUCAAUCAAUCAAUCAAAUCAAUCAAAUUUUAUUUAUAUAGCGCCAAUUCACAACAGUCGUCAUCUCAAGACGCUUUUCAAGGAACAAGAGCAGGUCUGGACCAUGCUCAUUGUUUGAUGAUCAAGAACCAACCUAAGAUGGGUUUUGGCCCAUCUCAACUAACAUGAGUUACAGUGGCAAGGAAAAACUUCCUUUUAACAGGCAGAAACCUUGGGCAGGACCAGCCUCAUGCUAGACAGCCACCAUGCCGCUGCUGGGUUGGGGAGGAAUGUAGAGAGAAGAGGGGAGAGGGGGAGAGGACAGGGGGAGGGAGAGAGACAACAAGAUAGGGGAAAGGCGAGAGAGAAUGAGUACGGAGAGGGAGGGGGAGGGAGAGAGAGUAAGGAACGAGGGUGAGAGAGAGACAGGAGGCAGCAGGAACAACAGCAACAACAACAGCUCAUGUAAUGGUGAAACAAAAUGAGUUCAGUUUACAGGGUUAGGAUAUGAGUGCUAAUGGACAAUGUUGAAUUAAUUGAGUGUGAUUACAGUUAGCAGGCUUAAUCGUAGUCAGUUCUAUUUUGUAUUAUUAAUGGUCUGCAGCAACGGUCCAGAGGAGCCAAAGAGCCAAAGAGCCGGGGUGGAUGCAGCUGGGGUCAGGCAGUUCCACAGCAGACCGUUUGCAGCAUUAGUCCAGCGGCAGCUAAAAGACUCAGAGACACACUCAGAGAGACAGAAAACUGGUCAGUGACUUAUAUGGGACAUAAAGAUAGGAGAUAGAGACAGACUCUAGCUCAGUGUGCCAGAUAGCCCCGGCAGUCUAGGCCUAUAGGAGCAUAACUAAGAGCUGGUUCAAAUCAGCCCUGACUAUAGGCUUUAUCAAAGAGGAACAUUUUAAGUCUACUCUUGAAAGUUGAGAGUGUGUCUGCCCCCCGAACCUCGAGCGGUAAAUGAUUCCAGAGAAGAGGUGCCUGGUAGCUGAAAGCUCUUCCUCCAAUACUACUUUUAGAGACAUUUGGUACAACGAGCAAACCUGCAGACUGUGAGCGUAACGGUCUAGAUGGAAAGUACGGUAUAACUAGCUCGUCGAAAUAUGAUGGAGCCUGGCCAUUAAGCGCUUUAUAUGUCACAAGGAGGAUUUUAAACUCAAUUCUAUAUUUAAUAGGGAGCCAGUGAAGAGAGGCUAAAACAGGAGAGAUGUGCUCCCUUCUUCUAGUUCUAGUCAAUACCCGAGCUGCUGCAUUUUGGACCAGCUGAAGAGUCCUUAAUGACUUACUAGAGCAGCCUGACAGGAGAGAAUUACAGUAAUCCAGCCUAGAGGUUACAAAGGCAUGGACUAGUUUUUCUGCAUCGCUCUGAGACAAUAUGCGUCUAAUUUUUGAGAUAUUGCGCAGGUGGAAAAAGGCUGUCCUGGAAAUUUUUUUGAAUGUGGGAGCUAAAAGAUAAAUCCUGAUCAAAUACAACUCCUAGAUUUCGCACAGUGGGGCUGGAUGCCAGGCUGAUACCAUCAAAUGUAGCUAAAUUACUAGAGAAUGCCUCUCUAAGGUGUUUAGGACCGAGGACCAGAACUUCAGUUUUGUCUGAGUCAAUGAAUGUGAUGAAAUGAAAGUGGUCAUGCAGGCGUAUUCCAAAAAGCGAGAAGUAUCAGCACAAGAAGCUGUUGCCUGAGUGACUUCACUGAACAUGAAAAAGAGUACACGCAGUGUGGUUUUUGUCCCAACUGAUGACAACCCAGUGAAAAUGAGUCUGCCUGUGUCAAGCCUUGACAACACUACACCAGACAGCUUGAAUGUGUGGAUGACAUCCUUAACAGACAAAUACAAAUCCAGACCUGAAACACCAGAGUUUGAAGAGAUGUACAUGGCUGAUUUUACAUCUACCUGCAGACUGGUGUAUGGACAACAGACCAAGGGCAAGAAAGUGUACCCUUGCUGAAUGAACUAGGCUUUAUACAGAGACGAGAAAGUGACAACGCUGCUGUCAUCAGGUAUCGCCGCAUAUCGAAAGAGAAAUACCCUGAGCAGUUUUACGGCACAUUGCAUAUACUGUAUCUUCCAUACAGAUCAGACGAUGAGCUGAAAAGACCAUAUCUUCCCACGUAUGAGUCAUUCUAUAAGAGAGGUGUGGUUCAGCUGCCGUAUUCUGACCAACCCCUGCGUGUGAAACUCAUUGUGAAAAGAAACAGAGAGAGAUAUGAAAAAAACGGUGAGGAAAUUGACUCUGCUCUCGAGGACUUUGAACAGAACAGAGGUGUGGUCGAUGAAUGGUGUAAUUUGGCACCUGAAUCUGAACUGGUGAAGUUGGAGUGUAUCGAUGAACUGGAUGCCUGACAGUGUGAAAAUGUCCAACAGGAUGUACCGGAAUACAGCAGACAAGCUAAUGCUGCUACAGAGGCCAGAGUCAUGAGAGAGCCCCCUACAAUCAAUCCCACACGGUUACGACAAAUGUAUCAGAGUCUGAACCAGAAGCAGGCAUGUGUGUUCUAUGCAGUGAGAGACUGGUGCAUAAAACGAGUCUGUGGACUACAACCAGAGCAGUUUUUCUACUACAUAAAUGGUGGUGCUGGCACUGGAAAAUCACCUCAUUAAAUGCAUUCAUUCAGAAGCAUCAAAGAUACUGAGAACUCUACCUAGACGUGUAGAGGAAGCUGACAUCUCAAACCC
Xyrichtys novacula (pearly razorfish) is the source of this 5575-nucleotide non-coding RNA. Lineage: Eukaryota; Metazoa; Chordata; Actinopteri; Labriformes; Labridae. The record is from the annotation of a GenBank genome assembly.